Molecule: long non-coding RNA, 1597 nt
Organism: Cloeon dipterum
Lineage: Eukaryota; Metazoa; Arthropoda; Insecta; Ephemeroptera; Baetidae
Exons: 3
Source: RefSeq, a predicted model, not a curated record
CACAACCCACUUGUGGAUCACUAUACUGUAGGGGCUGUCUCACUGCACGCAACAUGCUCUUCACACAUUUCUUUUGUUUCCUGACUAUUUCCAUUUUGAUCCUUGGUGUUGUCACGACGUCACCUGUCCAAAAUGAUACGAAGUUGGACUCAUCAGAAGAAUCCGAUGCUACUGUGAACUGUUUUAUAUGCAUUGGGCGGGUCUGCCCCAAAGGCCAAAAAUGGGUAGUCAGGAAAUGUGUUUAAAUGGCUAAAUAUUCACGUUAGAAGGUUGCGUACGUGGACACUGGACAGAUCGCUCAAAUUCUACUUUACAAAUUUUGUGUCGUCACACAAUAAUUUUCUUUUGAUGUGUAGAAAAACUGGAAAUUGAAUUCAAAUAAAUUAAGGUAUGAGAAAUCGUUAAACCUAAUUAUAUUUUUCAUUAAACGCCUAUGUAACAAAAUUAUUAUAUUGGAAUUUAGGUAAUUACGUGAGGUGAUAUGGUUUUUUUUAGUCAAAUAAAUUUAAAUGACAUUUAAAAAUUAAAGCAAGUUUAAUUUGCUUUUUCCACCAAAAAAAUUAAUGAAUAAAAUGUACUAAAACAUGAUACACGAUAUAAUAGCUCUAUAUUAUAUAGUCCCAUAUAAAAACAUUAAUAAAUGUGAUAGAUAUAGGAGAAAUCUGCACGUAUUAGUGCAGACACAUAAAACUCUGCAUAAAAAUUGUCCAACUUAUUUGUGCCCUUUAGUAACCACAAAUGUAUGAUGUUAACCCGUUUGACAGGACACGAGCGCACCGAAUGAAACUGUCAGUCCCGUUUGUAAGUGUUGAAGUGCCCGAAAACUUUUCAAGUUCAAAACUACCGCCUGUGGAACGACCUCCCACCGAAUUUGUGCCUGAACGAAAACCUAAGUAACCUUCAAAGAAUUCCUAAAAGAUAAGUUCCUCAAGAAAUAUUGAACCACCUCUCUUUUAAAAAUUGUGUUUAAACUGAAAUUAUUUUGUCCGAUGUAUGGGGCAAAAUAGCCUUGCAGAACCAUAAUAAAGAUUAAUUUGAAACUAAAUCCUCCAAAAAAAAGCUCCAUUCAGCUAUAUUACAAUAUGGUCGUGGUUCAAAUCGCAGUUGGUUUUUAUCGCUAGCCUACCACGUGACGUGCUUAAAGGGCAAUUUAGAGUCCUCUGCUCAUUCUACGCUCAUUCUACAAUGUAUUUCUCAUUCACAACUCACUUGGCUGUCUCGCUGCACACAACAUGCUCUUUAAACAUUUCUUUUGUUUCCUGACCAUUUCCAUGUUGAUCCUUGGUGUUGUCACGACGUCACCUGUCCAAGAUGAUACGAAUUUAGACUCAUCAGAAGAAUCCGAUGCUACUGUGAACUGUUUAACAUGCUCUAGGGUCUGCCCUAAAGGCAAAAGAUGGACAGGAAGGAGAUGCGUCACCGCUACAGUCUAAAUAUUCAUGUUGGAAGGUUGUGUGGACAGAUUGCUCAAAUUCUACUUUGCAAAUUUUGUAUCGCACGCAAUAAUUUUAUUUUGAUGUGCAAUGCUGGAUUGUGUAGAAAAACUUGACAUUGAAUUUAAAUAAAUUAAAGUACGAUAAUAUAACGUUAAACCGAA